Molecule: unclassified non-coding RNA, 567 nt
Filed under: Leishmania donovani
Lineage: Eukaryota; Euglenozoa; Kinetoplastea; Trypanosomatida; Trypanosomatidae
Description: gene:unknown
Source: RNAcentral
ACACAUGACCGAACGCAAACCAAGAAAAGUUACCGGGCCCAACAGCAGCACAGCGUCUCUGGAGGUGGCGUUCAUCUUGCGGAGCCACCAGCCCCCCCCCGACACAUGUGCGUGAGCCCAUGUGUGCACGCGCAUAACUGAGCCAAGUCCCGGUCACUCGUGGAGGUCUCUGUAUACCUGUUGCACGUGCACCGCUGUCUGGCGUGGUGGGGAAGGGCAAUGCCAACGCGUGCUGAAGACCCCAACGCUUGCUCACUGCGCUCGCCCCUCUUUCCCACCCCUUAUAUGCUGAGGGAGGCAUGCAGAGUGAGAGCAACCUGCUUAGCGGCGAAUGACGCGCGUAAGAUGGAGGGUAGGAUGGAUGACAGCGCUGCUCCCCUCACUUGUGGAAAAGGCUGGCAGGCACGCUCCAAGGCCGCACUGCUCUCGUCGUUGUGAUUUUUUUUCUGUGCUUGCAUAUGCGUGACGCGUCUCUGCUGGGCAUUCACGGCCUCCCCCUCUGCCGCUCUCAUAAAGCGCCGCGGAACUCACUGCCCGGGUACCUGUGUGGGCGCCACGAUCACGGAG